UAAUACGUAGGGGGCAAGCGUUGUCCGGAUUUAUUGGGCGUAAAGAGCGUGUAGGCGGCCAGGUAGGUCCGUUGUGAAAACUCGAGGCUCAACCUCGAGACGUCGAUGGAAACCAUCUGGCUAGAGUCCGGAAGAGGAGAGUGGAAUUCCUGGUGUAGCGGUGAAAUGCGCAGAUAUCAGGAAGAACACCUAUGGCGAAGGCAGCUCUCUGGGACGGUACUGACGCUGAGACGCGAAAGCGUGGGGAGCGAACAGGA
Molecule: ribosomal RNA, 257 nt
Filed under: uncultured prokaryote
Description: partial 16S ribosomal RNA
Rfam family: Bacterial small subunit ribosomal RNA
Source: RNAcentral